UACGAAGGGGGCUAGCGUUGCUCGGAUUUACUGGGCGUAAAGGGCGCGUAGGCGGACAGUUAAGUUGGGGGUGAAAGCCCGGGGCUCAACCUCGGAAUUGCCUUCAAUACUGGCUGUCUUGAGUGUGAGAGAGGUGUGUGGAACUCCGAGUGUAGAGGUGAAAUUCGUAGAUAUUCGGAAGAACACCAGUGGCGAAGGCGACACACUGGCUCACUACUGACGCUGAGGCGCGAAAGCGUGGGGAGCAAACAGGAUUAGAUACCCUGGUAGUCCACGCUGUAAACGAUGAGUGCUAGUUGUCGGGCGGCAUGCCGUUCGGUGACGCAGCUAACGCAUUAAGCACUCCGCCUGGGGAGUACGGUCGCAAGAUUAAA
Molecule: ribosomal RNA, 374 nt
Filed under: uncultured bacterium
Lineage: Bacteria
Description: bacterial SSU rRNA
Rfam family: Bacterial small subunit ribosomal RNA
Source: RNAcentral